This 343-nucleotide long non-coding RNA is filed under the name Rattus norvegicus (Norway rat). RNAcentral describes it as "long non-coding RNA NONRATT019298". The record is from RNAcentral. Lineage: Eukaryota; Metazoa; Chordata; Mammalia; Rodentia; Muridae.
UUGAAGGUUACUCCAAACUGUCAAGAUUUAGGAUAUUCAAGAAAAGAUUUAACUAGUUUUAGUGUCAGACUUUAAAAUUUCCUAAGGAAUUUGGUAAGAAAUAGAAGUCCACUCUAUAAGCAUUGAGGAAACUUUGAAAAACCUUUAAGUAAAUGUAAGACUCUUAAUGACUAAACCCAUCGGAGUGGAUGAGUGUUCCCCUGGAGGCUUGUGUUUGAGACCUGUGCUGUAAGCCUCCCACUUGACCUUCAGCGUAAUGUUUCCCACCUGCUCAGAGUGUCAGCACUCGUCACUAGGCUUUCCAGGGCUAAGUCCUUCCUGUUCACAUGUUCUCACACUUUUU